AGCCCUGUAGCUCAAUGGUGGAGCAACUGUCCUACAAACAGAGGGUUACAGGUUCAAAUCCUGUCAGGGCUACCA
Molecule: transfer RNA, 75 nt
Filed under: Nostoc sp. HK-01
Lineage: Bacteria; Bacillati; Cyanobacteriota; Cyanophyceae; Nostocales; Nostocaceae
Also listed under: 4 other names
Description: tRNA-Val
Rfam family: tRNA
About the family: Transfer RNA (tRNA) molecules are approximately 80 nucleotides in length. Their secondary structure includes four short double-helical elements and three loops (D, anti-codon, and T loops).
Source: RNAcentral